UUGGAGGGCAAGUCUGGUGCCAGCAGCCGCGGUAAUUCCAGCUCCAAUAGCGUAUAUUAAAGUUGUUGCAGUUAAAAAGCUCGUAGUUGAAUUUCGGGAUCAUCAGGUUGGUCGUGCCUCCGGUAUGUACUUUCCUCGAUGGUUCCUCCUUCUUGAAGAACCGUAAUGCCAUUAAUUUGGUGUUGCGGGGAAUCAGGACUGUUACUUUGAAAAAAUUAGAGUGUUUAAAGCAGGCUAACGCUUGAAUACAUUAGCAUGGAAUAAUGAAAUAGGACGAUCGAUCCUAUUUUGUUGGUUUCUAGGAUUGACGUAAUGAUUAAUAGGGAUAGUUGGGGGCAUUAGUAUUCAAUUGUCAGAGGUGAAAUUCUUGGAUUUAUUGAAGACUAACUACUGCGAAAGCAUUUGCCAAGGAUGUUUUCAUUAAUCAAGAACGAAAGUUAGGGGAUCGAAGACGAUCAGAUACCGUCGUAGUCUUAACCAUAAACUAUGCCGACUAGGGAUCGGAUGAUGUUAAUUUUUUAAUGACUCAUUCGGCGCCUUACGGGAAA
RNAcentral lists this ribosomal RNA (548 nucleotides) under uncultured Glomeromycotina. RNAcentral describes it as "SSU rRNA". It matches the Rfam family "Eukaryotic small subunit ribosomal RNA", at positions 548 to 1097 of the family's 1831-position model. Lineage: Eukaryota; Fungi; Glomeromycota. The record is from RNAcentral.